ACACUGAUGGUGAAACGGUAUCAUGCUUGCCUUCCAUCAUCGUCUGAAGCAAGCGGCGCGGGUUCGACUCCCGCUCAGUGUA
Fomitopsis pinicola is the source of this 82-nucleotide transfer RNA. It matches the Rfam family "tRNA". Rfam says of the family: Transfer RNA (tRNA) molecules are approximately 80 nucleotides in length. Their secondary structure includes four short double-helical elements and three loops (D, anti-codon, and T loops). NCBI's taxonomy places the organism in Eukaryota, Fungi, Basidiomycota, Agaricomycetes, Polyporales, Fomitopsidaceae. The record is from Rfam.